ACGAACGCUGGCGGCGUGCUUAACACCUGCAAGUCGAACGGAAAGGCCCUGCUUGCCGGGUACUCGAGUGGCGAACGGGUGAGUAACACGUGGGUGAUCUGCCCUGCACUUCGGGAUAAGCCUGGGAAACUGGGUCUAAUACCGGAUAGGAGCCAUUUUUAGUGUGAUGGUUGGAAAGUUUUUUCGGUGUAGGAUGAGCUCGCGGCCUAUCAGCUUGUUGGUGGGGUAAUGGCCUACCAAGGCGGCGACGGGUAGCCGGCCUGAGAGGGUGGACGGCCACAUUGGGACUGAGAUACGGCCCAGACUCCUACGGGAGGCAGCAGUGGGGAAUAUUGCACAAUGGGCGCAAGCCUGAUGCAGCGACGCCGCGUGGGGGAUGACGGCCUUCGGGUUGUAAACUCCUUUCGCUAGGGACGAAGCUUUUUGUGACGGUACCGAGAUAAGAAGCACCGGCUAACUACGG
RNAcentral lists this ribosomal RNA (463 nucleotides) under uncultured bacterium. RNAcentral's name for it is "partial 16S ribosomal RNA". It matches the Rfam family "Bacterial small subunit ribosomal RNA", at positions 29 to 506 of the family's 1533-position model. The record is from RNAcentral.